This 64-nucleotide transfer RNA is filed under the name Pseudodendrothrips mori. RNAcentral's name for it is "tRNA-Asp". The record is from RNAcentral. Lineage: Eukaryota; Metazoa; Arthropoda; Insecta; Thysanoptera; Thripidae.
AGAAAAGUAAUUAAUUCAUAAUAUCUUUUUGUCAAAAAGAAAUAAUUCUAAGGGAUCUUUUCUA